Molecule: non-coding RNA, 281 nt
Organism: Podarcis lilfordi (Lilford's wall lizard)
Lineage: Eukaryota; Metazoa; Chordata; Lepidosauria; Squamata; Lacertidae
Source: the annotation of a GenBank genome assembly
GGAUGUGAGGGUGAUUUGACUGUAACAUCUGCCACCCCACUGAUCACCAAGGUAGAUUCAGCUGAUCUGACUGGCUAGGCGGGUGCCACCUAUCCCUCCCAAACCUGCAUGCUCAGUGGAACAGGCCGAUCAUCCCAGAUAGAAGGAGUGUACCGUUCUUCAGUCAAGAUAGCUGCACUCCCGAUAGAACCUUCAAACAAGCUCAAGGUCCAUAAUUAGGUUCAAGUUGUGAAUCAGAAUACACCAUGAUGGGAGUGCCCAAGGUGGUCCACAAGCUUCAU